This 492-nucleotide ribosomal RNA is filed under the name uncultured bacterium. RNAcentral describes it as "partial 16S ribosomal RNA". It matches the Rfam family "Bacterial small subunit ribosomal RNA", at positions 29 to 507 of the family's 1533-position model. The record is from RNAcentral.
AGUGAACGCUGGCGGUAGGCCUAACACAUGCAAGUCGAACGGCAGCACAGUAAGAGCUUGCUCUUACGGGUGGCGAGUGGCGGACGGGUGAGGAAUACAUCGGAAUCUACUUUUUCGUGGGGGAUAACGUAGGGAAACUUACGCUAAUACCGCAUACGACCUACGGGUGAAAGCAGGGGAUCUUCGGACCUUGCGCGAUUGAAUGAGCCGAUGUCGGAUUAGCUAGUUGGCGGGGUAAAGGCCCACCAAGGCGACGAUCCGUAGCUGGCCCGAGAGGAUGAUCAGCCACACUGGAACUGAGACACGGUCCAGACUCCUACGGGAGGCAGCAGUGGGGAAUAUUGGACAAUGGGCGCAAGCCUGAUCCAGCCAUACCGCGUGGGUGAAGAAGGCCUUCGGGUUGUAAAGCCCUUUUGUUGGGAAAGAAAAGCAGCAGGUUAAUACCCCGCUGUUCUGACGGUACCCAAAGAAUAAGCACCGGCUAACUUCGUG